Long non-coding RNA from Dromaius novaehollandiae (emu), 3268 nucleotides. RefSeq lists it as uncharacterized. Lineage: Eukaryota; Metazoa; Chordata; Aves; Casuariiformes; Dromaiidae. The transcript has 2 exons. The record is from RefSeq and is a predicted model, not a curated record.
UGUCACCUGGUGGACAACAAGUUGAACAUGAGUCAGCAGUGUGCCUUUGCAGGAAAGAAAGCCAACUGCAUCCUGCUCUCUGUGAGUAAGAGUGUAGCCAGCAAAGGCCCAGAAGUGAUCCUGCCCUUCUAUUCAUUGUAGGAUUGCAUCUGGAACACUGUGUCCAGUUUUGGGCUUCCCAGGACAAAAAAGAUACUGGCAUACCAGAGUGACCACCAAGAUGGUCAGGGGAUGAGCCCUGGAGGUUCCUUCCAACUUAAAUUAUGAUUUUAUACUGUCCAGAAAGGGUUGCAGUCAUUGACCUACUAAUAGUGAGACCAGAUUCCAGAGGGUAAUGAGCCCUACCUUCCCUUUCUCAGUCUUUGAAUGUAAUAGAUACGCAAAGGAAAUCUAGCAAAUUGCCAAACUGUAUUGUGCAUACACAGCAGUUCCCAUUUUGCCCCAUCAUCUCAAAGGUCUGGAGAAAAGAGAGCAGCCAGAAGUAAAUUAGAGACUGAAACAGAAUUUGUUUCGCUUUGGCUUCCAACUUUGGUCCUCUGAUUGCAUCUCAUUAUAAGACUAAAGAUUAUAAGUACUCCUAGGUAUGUUUUGUAGCUUAUCUGUUUCUCACAGAUGGAGUUGUACUUUCUUAUUCCCUGCCUUUGCCUGACAAUGAAGUAAAUACACUUCAAUAUACUUCUGAAGUUUCAUUUUUUUUCUUUUUUGACUUAACCCCAUCAACUCUCUAUGUACACCUGGGUCACUUACAUAUCACAAAUGUGUUACAGCACACAGCAAGCUGACAGCUGCCAGAAUUCCUAAGUAGAGCUUUCAUUUUCAUUACCAGUAAGUGAACUAUUCCUUGGGUCUUUUAUUAAGGUCAGUCUGAUUCAAUAACCUACAACUUCCUUGGAGAAAAUAACUUCUUUAUUGCUUUUAACUGGAUAUGUACCGAAAGAAAGAUCAAGGUGACUGUACUUGAUUACAUUUUAGGAACCAACAGCAGAAAUAUUAUUAUGUAUGUCUUUGUUAAACUGAUACUAAGACUUCUGUUGCUCAUUGGUCUUUCUCAAAAGCAUUAUUUAACUUGAAUUAGUGAUUCACCUAGAUUCACCUAGUCUGCUUAGACAGACAAUCAGAAGCUGAAUGUCUUAACUUUUAUAAACCCUUUGGUUUUGCAAAACUGGGUAAGAAUGUUAAAAGCUUUCCCUUCCCUCCAAAAAGCAUAGUCACAGAUGUGCAUGUAAGCACACAGAUCACACUGAAAAAAAUUCUUUAGUCGGAAGACUUCAGUGUCCAAACAGCUUUCCUUCUAAUUUGUCAGCACUGACAGUACCAAGUGAGGUUGAAAAGUGCAAAGACUCUGAACAACAAAAAAUAAGACAGUGAUGGUCACUGCAACUUCUGAGUCCCAGAAAUGGUUUCCCUCAAUGCUUCCUGUUGUGAACACAGUGCUAUCUAAAACAUACACAGAACUAGGUUAGAUUAUACAUAUUCAUUUAUAACAGUUAAAAAAAAUAAUUAACAGCCUUUGCUGCAUAAAGUCCUCUGGAUUUUCUGUCUCAUUCUGCAGAGCUUGAAGUCGUUCCGCCCAACAUUCCACUUCAAUUCUGACCGGAAUCAUACGGAAAUUAUUCCUCCAUUUGGCUCUGUUAUCAAAAUCCAUCCAAUCAGAGCUAAAUAAGUUUACCAGAACCAUGCUUCCUGAGGCCAGAGAUCUGGCCUAGAACAACAGAUGUGCUCUGGCAACAAAUUGAUGCUGAGGAAUCAAGUAAAAGCUAAGUGGAGCUGCUCUGUGCUCAGACAGUUCUGAGCUGGUCUAGGGGAAAGGAUUCUGUUCUUUCCUUUUCCCCAACCAACAUGGCAAGUACUAACUACACCUCUUUGCUUAAAGAUGAAAUCCCAUUCCCACUCCUCCUCCUCCCAAUACUUUGUUUCCUCAGUUUUUCAUGCUGAGGUUUGGGAGGAAUGAGAUCCUCUGAUGUCUGCAGUCCAUUGUUGCUUAAGAUGCAUAAGAAAUUACUAACUUCAAACACUUUUUUAUACACAUUUUAGGUAUUGGAGAGCAGAAUUGUGAUAGAAACAAUUCAGUUCAGCAAAACAACACUUAAAGUAUCUCCAGUGAUCACUGAAGUAUCUGCUGCUGCCUCUUUCUCUGUACCACCUAAUAACUGCUCAGAGAACAGCUUCUCUCCAUCCCAUCAUCUGCUGCAGCUCUGACCAGGUAGAGCGCAGUUCCUUGUACAAAAGGAAAAACUGUCUGUUGGCUCCCGUUUCCUGUACUCCUGGACUGCAGCUUCAAAUCUAGUCAAUACUUGGUUGGAAGCCUAUCUGCUUUAGAAGUUUGUUUCACAGCGAAGUUGGACAUGAAACAACACAGCGCUCUGCUUCCCAUGGACUCCCAGAUUCUCUUUCAUCACAGCAGAAAUGUUCCUUAGAGCAUGCAUGCGCUUGCAUUGCUUCCACUCGAAGCCGGCCCUGUUUCUAAGCAUAGUUUGCCAUCUUCAAAUACAGAACCUUCAGAUUAGCAACUGCUCACACCUAACCAGUUUUGAGGGUGUAUGAGAAAAGAAUGGAUUUUUGAAAAAAGAAUUUUCAGGCAUACGUUGUGCAAGGCAAAGAUCAGAAGGCCACAUCUUUCAUUCAGAGGGAGAUGUUUCAUCUUUGAAGUUAACGAGGUAAAUUAAAUGAACUGGACUGGAUUCUCUACUAUAUCUGAUCUUCAGAUAAACAAGGGUCAGAGGCAUUUCACAUGUGAUUAUCCAUACUGGUAUACAUGUGAGCAUCCCCUAACCUGAUGUUAUCAUCUGAUUUCAUGACCUGAUGUUUUUAUCUCUUAAUCUUUUAUGAAACUAAUAUAUGAAAACUACCUUAAAACAUUCAGAAUGUUCCCAGGGACAGCGAUAGAGUAAACAAUGACAUUGUACAAUUGUUAAAUGACUUAUAUAUCAUUUAACAUAACACACAAUUCACACAGGGCUGUACUUUAGACAGUAUUUGACACACAGAACAACAACUUAUUACUGAGCUUCUCAGUUGUCAUAUCCUUAUGCUCCUGCUGUUACGCCAUCUUGUGUCAAGUGGCAAAACAUGAAACCCCUUUGCUGUACAUAGGACAGUCAUCCAAAAAAAUCAGUACAACAUCAGUAUAAGAAAAAGAACAGUCCAGCUCCAGAGAGGAAAAAGCUGACAAAUAUGGAAUAAUAGUAUAAGCACAAAAAACUUCUUUAAAUAAUUACUUGUAGCAAAUGUAGCAAUAAACAAGUACAAAAAUCAAGGGAAUACUAAA